RNAcentral lists this unclassified non-coding RNA (224 nucleotides) under Glomus sp. RNAcentral describes it as "partial contains 5.8S ribosomal RNA and internal transcribed spacer 2". The stretch from base 1 to 65 matches the Rfam family "5.8S ribosomal RNA", at positions 84 to 154 of the family's 154-position model. Lineage: Eukaryota; Fungi; Glomeromycota; Glomeromycetes; Glomerales; Glomeraceae. The record is from RNAcentral.
GUGAAUCAUCAAAUUUUUGAACGCAAAUUGCACUCUCUUCUGAGAGUAUGCCUGUUUGAGGGUCAGCCUAAAAAAAAUCUACAUAUUCGCUGUUUCGCGGUGACAUUCGUCGGAAAUUGGGUCAUCUUAAACCUUUGGGUUUUAAGCGGCUUAAACUUUUCUUUACGAUUCUACGAACGUUUCUAAGUUUUAUUAAAACGUUUAAGUAAUCGAUUUUUUGUAGA